Long non-coding RNA from Mesoplodon densirostris (Blainville's beaked whale), 1335 nucleotides. RefSeq lists it as uncharacterized. The record is from RefSeq and is a predicted model, not a curated record. The transcript is spliced from 3 exons. Lineage: Eukaryota; Metazoa; Chordata; Mammalia; Artiodactyla; Ziphiidae.
GGAAAUGAGGUCAUUAGACUGGGCCCUGAUCCAGUAUGACUGGUGUACUUAUUAGGGAAAUUUGGACACAGAGACAGGUGCACAUAGAAGGAAGACAUAGUGAAGACUGUUGAAAACAGACAAGAGGCCCCAAGUGGAGCCACUUAUGCUGAGCCCCAAGUCACGAAACCAAGACUUAAUUACAGUUUCGGCUCUCCCAGAAAUGGAAUCUUACACCAGUCAAUCAGGAAUAGCCUGACCAGCACCAGUCAGACGCACACAGGGAGAACACUACAUAAACUUGAAGGCAGAUAGCAAGGUGAUGCUUCUACAAGCCAAGGAACGCCAGAGAUUGCCUGUAAACCAUCAGAAGCUAGAAGAAAGGCAUGGAACAAAUCCUUCCAUCACAGUCCUCAGAGAGAACCAACUCUGCUGACACCUUGAUCUUGUUCUAACCUCCAGAAAAGAUGGAGGCUUCCUCAGCUGGAAACAGCUAAGCCCCAGGAUCCUUGGCAGCAGAGGGAAGAUAAGGAAGAUGUAAAAGUACCCCUUGAAGGGUCUUACACUGGAAUGCAUGCCCUGGUCCAGCUGCCCCCCAAUCUGUGUUGCUCCAGGUGCCACCCAGGCCACGCCGAGCUGCUGUGGGAAGAAGACCAUGGACGGGGCCAUUUUGAUUUCAUGUACUUGAUGAUUUUUAGCCAGAAUGUCUGUGAAUGAAAUUAUAACAGUUAGGUGAAUUAAACUGUUUUUAAAGCAAUGAUCCUUUUUCUCCCCCAGCAGAGUUUAAAGCUCAAGAAGGGAAUUUAUAUUUGGGCCAAUAAGAAGAAACCAAAGAAUUGAUAAGAAGCUUGGCAUGAGACCAAGGUCUUCCAGUCUUCCAAAGGCAAAAAACUAGAUUCUAAAAAGGAGCAGAGAGUUGCCAUUCUUUGGCAAUAUGCUCAUUUAAAAAUAAUAUUUCUUUUUCUGCCAAAACUGUUUUUCCAAAUUUGAGGAUUUUUGUAUCAAAUGCCCUUUAAAUUUCAAGUUUUUUUUUAAACAUUGCAAUAAAACUGGAGAGAUCUAUGGAUUUACCUUGAUUUUAAAGAAUAUAAUUUUGUGUUUCAUUCUGUAGUGAUACAUGCAGUUAUUACAGAGUGAAAAAUUGGAAAUUUGGUGUACAGUAUUUGGAUUUUUACACUAAAACCAAAAAUGCUAAAUACUAUGCAAAUGUGAUAAAACAUGGGAUUUCAGUUGCAAUUAAAGUGUAUUAUAAUGGGAAAAAAUAGUGUCUUUUAAGAAGGAAAUAGUUCUAGCAGGACCCUGGACUUAUAUGAAUCUAUAAAAUUUUCCUCUUGAACAUUCUGAGUAAGAUUCAUU